GACGUUGCCCGCCUGAGCGGACAA
RNAcentral lists this small RNA (24 nucleotides) under Pantoea ananatis. The record is from RNAcentral. Lineage: Bacteria; Pseudomonadati; Pseudomonadota; Gammaproteobacteria; Enterobacterales; Erwiniaceae.